Molecule: ribosomal RNA, 292 nt
Filed under: uncultured bacterium
Lineage: Bacteria
Description: partial 16S ribosomal RNA
Source: RNAcentral
GGACUACUAGGGUUUCUAAUCCUGUUCGCUCCCCACGCUUUCGCUCCUCAGCGUCAGUAUCGGCCCAGAGACCCGCCUUCGCCACCGGUGUUCCUCCUGAUAUCUGCGCAUUCCACCGCUACACCAGGAAUUCCAGUCUCCCCUACCGAACUCUAGCCUGCCCGUAUCGGCUGCAAGCCCACAGUUAAGCCAUGGGUUUUCACAGCCGACGCAACAAGCCGCCUACGAGCUCUUUACGCCCAAUAAUUCCGGACAACGCUCGCGCCCUACGUCUUACCGCGGCUGCUGGCAC